GGGUAGUCCACGCCGUAAACGUUGGGUACUAGAUGUCGGGGGUAUCGACCCCUCCGGUGUCGCAGCUAACGCAUUAAGUACCCUGCCUGGGGAGUACGGCCGCAAGGCUAAAACCCAAAGGAAUUGACGGGGGGCCCGCACAAGCAGCGGAGCGUGUGGUUUAAUUCGAUGCAACGCGAAGAACCUCACCUAGGCUUGACAUGGCUGAAGUAGAACCCCGAAAGGGGACCACCCGUAAAGUCGGGAGCAGUCACAGGUGCUGCAUGGCUGUCGUCAGCUCGUGCCGUGAGGUGUUGGGUUAAG
RNAcentral lists this ribosomal RNA (303 nucleotides) under uncultured bacterium. Its description in RNAcentral is "bacterial SSU rRNA". It matches the Rfam family "Bacterial small subunit ribosomal RNA", at positions 788 to 1084 of the family's 1533-position model. The record is from RNAcentral.